AGAGAGGUGACUGAAUUGGUUAAGGUAACAGACUGCUAAUCUGUCGGGGUAACACCUGUCCCGGUUCGAGCCCGGGCCUCUCUG
RNAcentral lists this transfer RNA (84 nucleotides) under Spirosoma telluris. It matches the Rfam family "tRNA". Rfam says of the family: Transfer RNA (tRNA) molecules are approximately 80 nucleotides in length. Their secondary structure includes four short double-helical elements and three loops (D, anti-codon, and T loops). Lineage: Bacteria; Pseudomonadati; Bacteroidota; Cytophagia; Cytophagales; Cytophagaceae. The record is from Rfam by way of RNAcentral.